AAAAAGGGCUUCUGCCGUGCGUGGCACGGGGGGGUUUCGGCCGCCCCCGCGGAAUCGACAUCAAGAGAUUUCGGAAGCACAAUUUUUGUGGGAGGGGUCGCCGGUAACCGCUUGUUCUGGCGCCCCG
Small nuclear RNA from Chrysolophus pictus (golden pheasant), 127 nucleotides. The record is from Ensembl. NCBI's taxonomy places the organism in Eukaryota, Metazoa, Chordata, Aves, Galliformes, Phasianidae.